UUUUUUUUUUGUUUUUUUGAGGGAGAGUUGUUUAUUGGCUGUAUAUUCAUUUGUUUAGUCUGAAACCUGCGCUUCGCCUCGGCCAUCCGUGAAAACAUGAGAUCUUGGCGGAUGUUCAUUUUCCCGUCAAAAGUGAAGGAUAUCACACCUUUCCGGAGAAACUGACACUGUCAUUCCUAUGAAGCGAACGGAUCGAAAUGAAACUUUCCCAUGGGAAACGAUACCUGUACGAUUCCUACGAAAUUCCUUUGAAGCGCACAGGGCCUCACAAGGAUUAACAACUGGACCAACCUCAGUCCACUGAUUAGUUUAGGAAAACACAGCUCUUUAAUUUGUCAUACAGUACAAACAUUAAACAUAUAUUGGUACUUUAUAACCCCCUAUAAAUUCUUUGAAUAAACAAAACAUAAAUUUGAAAAGGCAUUCAUAUAAUCCACGAAUUGAAAGGAAAAUUUCACAAAAAUGAAAAAAGUUCGUGAAUUCAAAAAAAGAUUAUCAAACCUAAAAAAAGUUCAUCGAAUUUGAAAAAAGUUCAUCGAAUUUUAAAAAAUUGUUCAUCAAAUUUAAAAAAAGUUCAUCGAAUUUAUAAAAAAGUUUAUCGAUUUUUAAAAAAAGUUCACAAAUUUAACGAAAAAGUUCACGAAUUUUAAAAACUCGCUCAAUAAGGAAAACAAAAAAACGAGAAAAAAGAAAAAAGAAUAAAUCGAGCUGUAGAACAAAAAAAAUGAACCAUCCAUAAAUUCGUCGGUGGAUAGCCUGGUGGCUAUAGGCGACCGCUUACAACGAUAGGUUGCGAGUUCGGAUCACCAUGGAAUCAUUCUUUUUGGACCUUUCGAUAAUAAGAAAAACAGGAAGGGGAAAGUUAGAAUGGGCCGGCCCAGUUUGAACUGCUGCAGGCAUCCGUUUGCAAGAUUGCACUUUAACGGGCGCCUGCAACGCCAAAUAGGAAAUGCCAUAUUCAACAACAGAUAGAAAUUUGAGGCCACAUGAAAAAUCAUGGCGCACUAUGUGGGGACACAACUAUUCUUAGCUCGGGCUCAAAUGAGCCCGGAUGAAAAGUAAAAUCCAUUUUUUUGAAAACAAAAUAAAAAUUUUGUUGUCCUCCACCUCGCCCAGCUUCUCCUUCGUUCUGACACCGGAUGUGAGAUCAUUGCACGAACCACGGAAUUGCUCUAGGCGGAAGGGGGCCUUUCGAUAAUAAGAAAAACAGGAAGGGAAAAGUUAGAAUGGGCCGGCCCAGUUUGGACUGUUGCAGGCAUCCGUUUGCAAGAUUGCACUUUAACGGGCGCCUGCAGCGCCAAAUAGGCGAUGCCCUAUUCAACAACAGAUAGAAAUUUGAGGCCACAUGAACAAUCAUGGCGCACUAUGUGGGGACACAACUAUUCUUAGCCCGAGCUCAAAUGAGCCCGGAUGAAAAGUAAAAUCCAUUUUUUUGAAAACAAAAUAAAAAUUUUGUUGUCCUUCACCUCGCCCAACUUCUCCUUCGUUCUGACACCGGAUGUGGGAUCAUUGCACGGACCACGGAAUUGCUCUGGGCGGAAGGGGGCUCUCCCUGGAUCAAUACCAACCACACACAUGUCGGUGCCACCUCCUCAUGUCCACCCCAGCAUAUUAUCGCAUCGCCUACCCUCCUUCUCCUCUCCUCUCGUCUCGGGUCCUCGCGUGGUGCGACAACCUCCUCUUGCCUCCCGGGAGAGCUGUUGCAUCACUCGACCUUCUCCCAUGUAAAUACCUUGGGAAGAGAAUAAGGGCGUCGGCUCCACCCAUGCACAUUGUGCCAUAUCAUUUAGAGGGGGGGAGGGGGGAGGGUGUCAAAGAGUUAGAUGGUUAGGAUUGCAGAGGCGACCUGACUUAUAUAAUGUGCAAGUACAUCAGACACAGUCAUUAAUUACAAGUCGUGUGUAAUGUGCCACACAUCGCAAGUGGACAUAAAAAGGAUCGUUUGUGAUGUAGGGUCUCACAAUGCAAAUGAACGUUCUAGGGCAAUAUUGUUCCAUGUGCUACACAUCAGACAAGCACCAUUUCAGUCUAGCACUUCACAAACGGGUCGGCGCGGGCCUUCAUGUAUGGUAGGCAUAUCACACAUAUUUUGGCUCAACCGUGUGCGAUGAAGGGUGUUAAUAUGCAUGUUUGAUCGAGUUACCGGACCGAUGAUGUGACGAGAAUUGUUUCCCGUCUUCUCAAGUCCUAGAUUAGUCCAUUUAAUAACAAUACUUACACCAAAGAGUAGAUUUUGUGCAACCGAUAUUAUCCUGUGAAAUAAUUCAUAAAUGUCAGCAGUGUUAUGUCAUGUCUACUUGCAAAUAUGUAUCCAAAGAUAUGAUCAUUGAUGUCCUAGAUAAAACAAAAAGACAAGAUUCGAAUGAGUGGUGCCAGUUAAAUAACAUGGACAUGAUAUUUUUUUUUUCCUCUAUAGGUCAAAAUAAGUCAUACUUUGCUAGGCAAAUUUUAACAUGGUCCCUCUUACCUCCUCUCUUUACAUGGGAGGCAAGAAGGUAAAAGUUAAUCAGGCCACUAAUUAAUAAGAUCAGCGGCUCAGAUCUAUUUUAUACUCUUACCUCUCAUGCAUAUACACAGACAAGAUGAAUUAGAUCCAUCAAUUGUUUCAUAAUUUCAAAAAUACCAAAAAUGUAAAGAGAAGAGGGCGAAUAUACAUUGUACAAGUAGCUAGUUGCUAGAGCGUUUAGAUCACUACUUUAAUGAUCCGUGAUCUAAACACUCUUAUAUUUCUUUACGGAGGAAGUACUUUCCGGCUGCUCGGUUUGCCCCACAGCAUGUGCGUGACAUCGAACUCAGCGACGUCCUCUCCUCGACUUUGCAUCAUUAUUUAUCUUCUCCACAUUCUCCUGUCGUAGGAACAUGCACGCUGCUAGACAUGAGAGAAACGAAAUGCAUAACCACAACAAACUAGACACCCCCAAACUAUCAGGGCUGUCACUUGAGUUCGACCACGCCAUCGCGGCUCCUGUGGUCAUGCCGGCACACCUGCCGGCAUACAAAAAAGAUGGCCCCUCGACGUCAUAGAUCACUCGUCGUUGAACUUGAGCAUGUCGGCCUGCAUCUUCUCGAACCACGGUCUCUUCCUUGGCGACAAGGCGUUGAGAUCCACCUUCAUGAUCUCCACCCCGGUCAUCAUGCUUGCAAGAGCCACUUCUUUCGCCUUUGUCUUGGCGUUGGCGGCAUCGAUCUCUAGCAUCUUGGCUUGCUUCUCCGCCUCGAGCUCGAACAUCUUGGCUUGCUUCUCGGCGUCAAGAUGAAGCCUCCUCCUUUGGAUCUCCAUGAAAGCAUCCAUUUGCUCCGCCUUGAAACGCCGGCGCUCCUCCUCUCUUGAGCCCUUCUUAUUCAUCAUGCCGUCCACGCUUGCGAUCAAGGCGUUGGUGGCCGCAUCUCGCUUGUCCUCCUUCUUGGAGUUGGUCUUCCCCCGCGGCCGUGCCGGCUCGUCCUCUCCAACAUCCUCCACGGCGCCCUUCCCCCCACGUGCCUUGAGCGCGGCAUAUUGUGCCUUAAACUUCUCUUCGUCCUUGAUGACCCGAUAGCAAUGGGAUAUGUUGAAGCACUUGCCAUUGUGUUGAGGAAUUUGAUUGCAAGAUAUAGAAGAACUCCCCCUGAAGAUGUGCAUAGUGAGGAAUUUGCUUUUGAAGCAAUGCACACUUGAAGAGUUGAAUCAUGGAGAUCUCCCCCUAUAUCUUGUAAUUCAUACACACAUUUGACAUAUCACAAUGAAGAGUUUGAAAUGCAUGAUGAAAUGUGGUGAAAUAUGUAAUUCAGCAUGUACGCAUUAGCAUAUAUGAGGAAUAAGCAUGCAGAAAAACAUAUCAAAAGUAUUAGAGCACCAUCGGGUUUAAGUAUACGACUCGAUCCAAUAAAGUCUCAGAAGAACGAGAGUUGUAACUUAAUAUAAAAAAACGCCCAUAUAGAAAGACCCGCUUGAAGGCUAACUCAAAAUUCUCCCCCUUUGUCAUCAAAUGACCAAAAGGAUCGAAUAUGAGGACUAACGCCCCUGAAGAAUAUCAAGUUGAUGAAGGAGCACCAGCAUUGUUGGGGUCGUUUGUUGUAGUAGGGCCUGCCGCAGUGUCGUCCAAGUCUUCAUUUUCAUCGGUGUCGCGCGAUGAAGAAAAUGAGCUGGCCACCAGAGAAGGAACCUUGACCUUCUUGAAUUUCUUCGGUGGAGGUGCAGACUAGUCAAAAUCUUCCUUGAGACCCAUUUUCUUCAGAUCGUCUUCACCAUAUAGAUGUGACAGAAUGGCCCAGGUGCGACCGAAGACUUCAUGGAGGUAGUAAUGGUUUUUCUUCACUGCAUUGUGUGUAGCAGUCAUGUUGUGAAGAAAUGAACCAAACUGACGCUUAACCCAUUUAUGAUUUCGAUCCACCUUCUCACUACUAGGGAAAACCUUAUACACAAAAAUUUAGCAACAGCGCGGGUUAAAAAGGGUGCUAGUGCUAGAUAGCAGUAGCGGUUCAGAAUAAACCGCGCUGCAGAUACGAUUCUAGCAGUAGCGCGUGUGCCCGUAAAAGCGCUACUACUAAUAUUCCCAUUGCUGAAACGAUGGGCUAUGCAUAGCAGUAGCGGCCUUGCAGGAAGCGCGCUACCGCUAGGGCAUGAGUAGCAGCGCGUUUCCCUGUAACAGCGCUACCGCUAAUGGAAAUAAAAUAAAAUGAAAAACAAAUAGAAAAGUAAAUGAAAAUGAAAGAAACAGAAAAAGGAGAAAGAAAAAAAAUAAAAUGUAAAGCAAAAUAAAUGAAAAAGCGAAAAAACAGAGAAAGGCUUAGCUGUAGCGUGUGUUAGUAAGAGGCGCUGUAGCUAACACAGCUGCAGCGCGUUUCGAGGACCCCCGCUAUAGAAACAGAAAAGGAAAUAAAAAAGAAAGAAACUUACAUAUGUAUAGCAGUAGCGCGUUUUGGAAAAAGCGCUAUAACUACCUUAGCUAUAGCGCGUUCUGCGAAACGCGCUACCGCUAGUUUUGACUUAAACCAAAAACCGCCCCCUCCCGGCCACCACUUGCCCCCCAAAUCUCUCGACCCACCCCGCCGCCGUCUCCCGGAUUCGUCAUCGCCCCACUUCGCCGCCGUCUCCUGCCGAUGUCGACGCCCCCGGAGCCACCAGAGCCGUGCGUCGUCGACGCCAUCGGAGCCACCCCCAACGCCACGAAGCCGCGCGGCCUCAUCAACGCCACCAGAGCCGUCGUCGACGCCACCGGAUCCUCCCUCUCCAGAACUGCCUUCCUCGCCAGAACUGCCUCCCUCGCCGUCACCGGAGACGCCCCUGCCUUCCUCGCCGUCACCGGAGACGCCCCUGCCUCCCUCGCCACCACUGCCUCCCUCGCCACCACCGGAGCCAUCCUCUGUAAGCCCCCACCCCUCCUCUCUCUCUUGCAUAGGUUAGCUAGUUUAAUUAUGUUAAUUAUCUAGGUUAGGGCAAAAAUUUAGUUAGGGCUUUGACAGAGAAGUAGUUAGGUUAACUAGUUUAAUUAGGUUAAUUACCUAGGUUAGUGCAAAAACUUAGUUAGGGCUUUGACAGAGAACUAGUCAGGUUAACUAGUUUGAUUAGGUUAAUUAUCUAGGUUAUUUAGGCAAGUUUUAUUUUAAAGAUGAUCCCUUCCUAGACUUUUAUUGUUGAUUAUAUCUUUUCAUUGAAGUGGUCAUGUUGUUUGUGCCCAAGUGGCUUUGUUGUUUCAAUGAAGCUGAGUGGCCUAUAUAUAUUUUGCCGGAAUGUUGAUUCAUUUCUGUUCCGGCAAAUUUCAGGUUCUCGAUUUGUACACUUUUUAGCAAAGGUCAUGCCGAAAUUUUCUGUGAAUUUCGGCAUGACUUGUGCUACAAACUAGGACAUAUCGAGUGCCCGUGUGAUUUGCCGCACCAGAAAGGAGUCAACGUUCCUGCAAAACAAUAGGCCUUUUUUAUGUCAUUAUUCAUUUUAUUAGGUCUAGAAUUAAUUGACUAGAUUUAAUCAUAGGAAACAUGGCUAGCAACGAUGAAGGACAGGGUUCUGGUGAUUGCGACGACGCCUACCGGGCGGCUGACAAAUUUUUUAGCCUUAUCGAUGAUCAACUGAUGUUAUUGCUGGGCCCACCAGUGGCAUCGAGGACUGAGACCGACACGCAGACCGGUGCUGAGACUGAGACCGGCGCUCAGACUCAGACAGGCAUCGAGACCGGCGCUGAGACUGAGACCGGCGCUGCCUCGGGGAGCGGAGCCGGUGUAGAACCGAAAGCAAAGAGGCAACGGGUUCCUAACAAACUCAGGACUACUAGAGUGGUGGUCACGGAGGUGGACGACGGCAAUUUUGAGCCAACGGCGCCCGAGGAAGCGCGUCGAUGCUACGGCAAUCAAAUAGGCUGCAUCAUACGGACAACCGCCACCAUCAAUGAUGAGAAACUACAGAAGAUAGAAAAUAUGAGGAGCUCCCUCCUAAAGAAGUUUCACCAGAUAUUCUUGUUCCCGGGCCGGAAUGAGAAGGAUUAUAAAGAUCCAGAUGAGGACCCGGCAAUGAAGAAGAUAAACAAACACGCCAUGACCAAGUUUAGCGACGCGUUGGCCGCCUGGAAAAAUCGAGUGAAAGCAAGGAUCAUCGACAAGAAGGAACCCUACUCCGAGAUUGUAAAGGAUAAUCCGAUAAUCACGGAAGAGCAGUUUCAAAUAUUCAAGGAGGCUUGCGAGGCCGAAGAUGCCAAAAAAAGUCUAAGUACAUGAAGGGGCUUCAAGAGAGGAACAUUGGGAGCCACCACCUCGGAAGCCGUGGUUACGGCGGAAAGAGGUCCAAAUGGGCCAAGGAGGACGCGGAAGCAGCGAGUCUGGGCAUCCCAGACCCCUUGGCGGAGUUCACCGUCCCGCACGAGCGUGACGUCCUUAGGACCCGGCACCGUUGGGACCCAGUGAAAAAGGUUUACAAGACAACACCGGUCAUUACGGAGUUCAUGAGACUGCUGGUAAUUUUAGUUUCUGAUCAAUUCGACUGCACACGUUAGUCAUAUUUGUAAACGAUCGUUGUGUCUUUUGCAGAGAGAGCAGCACAGGAUUGCGGCCGAAAGCGACUUGCCGUCUGAGGCAUUGGCCAAGCCCAAGUGGGACACUCCAUUCAACCGGGUGUUGAACAUAUUGAAACAACAACCGGUGGAUACUUGACCGUCGUAUGGACGCGUGCACGGUGUCGGAGAUGGCGCCACGUGGAAGAAGUACUACCGUGAGACCACGGAGGAGAGAAAGGAAAGACGGAGGUUAAAUGAAGAAAACAUCGACAAGAGGGUUGAGAUUGCGGUUGAGAAGAAAUCAAUUGAGACAGUCGCAACAGCGGUAGCUGCCGCAAAACAGGUGGCUUUAGAUAUUUCUACUACCUUGGUUCCGGCCAUUUUCAAUUGGACCAGGCAAAAUCCAAAAAAAGAUGCAGCGGACUUUCCCCUUGCUGACUUCUUGGCGGGGAGCAGCUCGACUAGCGUUGCACCAGCACCUGCAGCUGCACCUGCUCCCACACCGGCUCCUGCACCGGACGUGCUAGGCGGUGCUUCGUCUUUGGCUGAGCUCAACGCCCUCACGGUACCUGUCACACCGGCCCCCUUCAAUAUAAAUGUAUAAUCUCCCGUUUUCGUUGCCUUUCGGAUGUCUCACGUCGCAGACUUUUCUUUGCAGGCCACGAAAUCCCGUGCACCAUACUGUACACCAUCGGUGACCAGAAGGUGGACGUGGGGAAGGCAACGAUAACGGAGCCGAAGGAACCAUUGUUCCAUAGCCGGCUGAUCCCCCCGAACGUCUUCAAGGUUUCCAUGGCCAGUGUGACGAGAAUUUGCCUCCUCCAGUACUACUGGGGGAUGACGACGAGACACCGCGGCGUCUUGGUGAUUGUUGCAAUGCUGGGUGGGUCCUGUUGUGGCCAAAGAGUCUACUUCGUCUGGAGGCGGCCGGGAGCACACCCACGAGCACGCAGCCUCAGCAAGGUAUGAACAUCAACACCCCACCUACCCAAUUAUCGUCGGGUGUCGGGUUGGGUGAUAGUGGACGGGGUAAGGAGGAGGCUCCAUUAGUCGCUGAUGAUGUCGCCAUGGAUGAGGAUGAGGACGACGAUGGCGCUGCUGAACAGUAUGUCUAUACUGGCGCCUCCUCAGGGUUUGAGCGUCAUGAGUCGGUGCCUAAAUUUCCGUCUCAACAUAUUAUGGACGACCUUCCGGUAGUAAAGAAGUUUAGGAAGAGAGCGAGGAAAGGCAAAAAAGCUAUUUCUAUGAUCCAGCCGCCUCAGCAGCCUCGGCUUCAGGACCGUAUAGAUAUCCCCGGUGCGGAUAAAUGGCAUAUUCCCGGUCAACCAAUCCUACCUGCAACAGCGCUACGGGCCAGAUGCGGCGAUCUAAAGAGACUUCAUGACGAUGUGCUACGGGUAGAGAAAGACCUCAUCGCCUCGAAAGAUCCAGGAUACCCACUCUACGUGGUUAACGUUCCGCGGCAAAUGUCGUACGUCGACAGCUUCCCCAUGGAUAAGUUCUUCCGCCGAUUCGAUUACAUAUUCGACAUGUUUCACGUGAAGAAGCUGGAUUUUACGUUUGUCCGCCUUUAUGCCUUGCACAUGAACUACAUCGUCGGGGUUGAGCAGAUAUCUCAUAUCUGUGUCGCCGACCCGUACUACAUGCACGAGGGCUUCUUGGGAGUCUGCGCAAAUCACCGUGAAUACGCGAGGGAUUACAUUGUCAAUUUCAUGCUCGCCAAUAAGGACAAGGAGGCGAUUCUCGUGCCUUAUCAUCCCGUGUAAGUCAUCCGCGCUGCUAUCCUUCCUUCGAUUUCAAUCAUUCAUUUGCACGGUGGAGGCUAAUUAAUUUGAGGACUUAUUUUGCGCAGCGGCGGGCGCGCCGUCCUCAUCAUCCUCUACCCCCGAUUCUCCCACGCUCUUUACUUGGACUCGUCGAAGAACAUUCACAAAAAGGAUUACACCCACAUCAAGGAUGUUCUCGACAGUGCUAUGUUUUACUACCAAGCAAGGGGUGGAGAGGUCAGGGACAAGAAGAGAAGGGGCGGCAGGGUCGCCUUCGGCCAUAAGACCGACUUCUGUUGCAUCCAGCAACCGAACGAUUCUCUUAAUGAUGGAUUCUAUGUCCUACACCACAUGCUGGAGUACAGACGGGAUCACCAGAACCUUCGCAUGUCACCUAGAUCCGGCGAUGCCCAUAUUCUGCAAUGGGCAAAGGACAUAGGAGAUAUCGAGGAUCAUCGACUUCGAGCUGAGUUCUAUAACAUCCAGCGCGAACUUGCCCAAAUCAUCAUGAAAGAGGUCGUCGGAAAAACAGGGAUGUUCUACGGAGAAGGACAAAUGUCGUGGGAAGGCGUCCGAACAUGGAUAGCCUCUCAGCGUCUCGACCUGAAGCCUUUCACUAGGCUCGGGGACUAUCUCCCUGACUUGGAAGGAUGGAACGACAUGUUGGAGUGAUUGUCGAUAUAUGACAAUGUGUCCGUUUAGUCCAUACUUUCUGUAUGACAAAACUUUGAGUUAUGCACGGUGAAACUUUAUUUGUGAUGUAAUUAAACCGUCCUCCUCCUCGACUAGCGAAAAACACUCUAGUUAGGGCAUUUUGGGGUACGAUGAACUUUGUUAUUUAUGCUUAUGAUAUGUUGUUUUUAUUUUUGCCAAGUCUGUCUCUUUCUGUUGCUCAACUAUAUAUGUUGCAUAUCAUCGACUCAUGUGAUGAUGCAGGUGCAUAGAUCAUAGAUGGCGAAGAAGUGCUAUGCCAGGAGUAUAUAUACGACAAGUGGCCGGAGUGUCAGGCCCUUCUGGUUUCCGAGCGACAGGCAGUAGUUAGUUUAGAGGUUCAUGCUAAUGCGAAAGAGGGAUACGAACUCAUGUUCUCAAAGUGAUAGCUCUUCUCGCGUAUAUCAUUGUUUAGAUGGAUGACGAUGUAUUUGCAUAUCAUUCGAGACUUGUAUCGCUAUUUUCGAGAUGAUGACGAGAGACCACUUUGUGUUGGAUGAUGAUUAUGAUGAUGACAUGAUUUGAUGAGACUAAUUAUAUGUAUAUGCUAUGAUUACAUUUGUAUGUGUAUGAUAUGCUAAAGAUUAUUGUAUAAAGCCUAUUCAAAUACAAAACAAAUAUAAAACAGAUACGCAGGAAAAAAACUAAUAAUUAAACUAGUAGUAGCGAGGGAGGAAAUUUAGCAGUAGCGCCGCAUUGUCAGUAGCGCGUCCCAGCAAACAGCGUUGCAGAUAAUAUCAGUAGCGCCCUUUCCCAAAGAGCGCUACAGCUAUUCAUGUAUAGCAGUAGCGUGGGACUACCGGCGCUACUGCUAUACGUUAGCUGUAGCGCCUUAUUAGUAGCGCCGGUGCCCGCGCUACUGAGAGGCCCAAAACCCUCGCUGCUGGUAGGCUUUUCCCUAGUAGUGCAUAGUCGUCCGGGAACUCGUGGUCGAGGGGGAAGCCGUCCAGGUCGAUGCCGACCCGAUCACACAUGAAGGCCGCCUGAUCGGGAUCAUAGCCAGCGGCCGGCGUGAACGCCCCACGGCCGUCCUGGCUUUGCGUCUCCUCGGGAUCGUAGCCAGCGCCCGGCGUACCACCCUCGAAGAUGAGGUGUUGCAUGUAGUCCUCGUCGAUGGCGGACGACAUUUCCUCGAACAGGUUAUGGGCGUCCGGGAGACCGCCGGCCGGCGCCUGUCGCGCGCGUUUCCUCGUGUCGCCGGACGACGAGCCACCAACCACCGGGGUGGCGUUGAGGUCAAUGGGCGCGGGCGCGGGCGUGGAAGGCGCGACCGGGUUGCAAGCCGAUGCGCGGGGUGAGCACUCCCCAGAGAGGCGGGAGGCCUGCGGGUAGACGUGGAAGCCGGGGACCGGGUUGCAAGCCGAUGCGCGGGGUGAGUCGGGCAUCACCAUCCGAGGAAACACCGACGAGCCGGUGCUGGCCGCGGCGACGGUGGCUUGGACGAGGCCGUGCUGGCUAGGGUUUACCCCAAGCAUGUAGAGCGCCUCCCUCGUUGCCGCGGCAACGCGGGCGUUGGUGAAUUCCUACUGCGCGGCGGCGACAACGGGGGCCUGCGCAGCGUCCUCAUCCCUCGCGUCCGCGGCGUGCCUCCGGCCCUUCCUCUUGGCCGGCUCCCUUGCCCGCUGUUCGGGCGUCAGCGCCUUCUUCGGCUUGGCCGCCGUGGCGGUCUUGCACGGGGCACGAGGCUUGCCUUUCCUGGAGGGGGCGACAGUGCCGGACGAGGCGAGGGAGGCGAGGCCGGCGGCGGCGUCGAGGUCGAUGGCGUCCUCCAUGGCUGGUUGGGGGCGGGGGGGCGCGCGGGCAGGAGCGUUUUUGAGGGAAAUGGGGUGAAAUGGUGGUGGCUGCCACCGACAGGCGGGCCCGGGGAGAGGAGUAGGCGCGCUCGCGUCCAUCUCGUGUCCGCGCCGAUGCAAUCCGACUCAAAAUUGGGCCUGGAAUGGGUCGCCCACGGACGAAAAACGGACGCGCGUCCGUUUGGGUCGGCGCGUUGGGCCGCCAUUUUUGUCCGCGCCGACCCAAACGGAUGCGGGCGGACGAAAUGAGUCGCCCCAUUGGAGUUGCUCUAACCUACAAUGAAAAGAAACUUCUUUUUUGUCAACUUUUUUAUUCUUAGUUGGUCAAAGUUCCAACACAGAGCAGUCACCCGAACCGAGACAUGAGAAAUAAACACCUUGUGUAUCCUCAACCCAAUUUCCAAACAUAUUGUGUACACGCAAAGUCAUUUUGAGCGUUUUCCGUGAUGUGCCGGUAGAUCUAGGGCCAUCCACUUGUUCUUAGAUUUGUAAAAAUGUAUGACCCACCUAAUUGUAUAGCACCGUAUAUUUUUUUGUAUCUUUAUUUUUAGUUAAAACAGUGGCAGCAUAAUGGACUCCAAAAUACACCUUUUGUCAGGGACAGUACCCAUGCAAGUUUCUCCUCCCACUCUACAUGCGGAACAAAUCCAUAGACUUUAUUUCCUAUUAGAGAAUUUAAGUCAACCAUAUCUUUUAAACUAUAGACUUGUUUUUGAAACUUUUUAUAUAUUUGAGCUCCUGGCGUCAAGAACUUUUAAACUAGACCAAUUUUGGUUACAUUUCAAACACAUUUAAUUUUCGAUGUUUCACAUUUCAUAUGUGAAAUAAACACAUUUCACUAUAAAAAUCUGAAACAAACCUAUUUCACUAGAAAUAUGUGAAAAUAACACUUUUCACAUAAACCUAUUAAACUCAAAUGACACCUUGAGAAACUAAUUAUUUGGAAGUAUGUAACAUUUUUAUUUCAAAAGAGCAAAAAUAAGUUAUUUCAUAAGUUAUUUUUCAUAACUUUUUUUUGAAAUGUGUAACAAUUUAUUUCAAAAAAGUGAAAAUCAUCUUUUUAAAAAAUGUGCAAUGGAAAUAUAUGUGUUUCUAUGAAACAAGUCAGUGGAAAGUGAAAUGUAUGUUCUGAAAGUGAAAAAUUAUAUGAAACCGAAAAGUUAACUUGUGAAACUCAUUACUUCCAAUGUGUAACAGUUUAUUUCAGAAGAGUGAAACAUGUUAUUUCAAACAUGUGCAAUUGAAAUGCAUGUGUUUUUUGUGAAACAAGCCCGUGGAAAGUGAAUUUCAUGUUCUGAAAGUGAAAACAAUACAAAACUAAAAUGUUAAUUUGUGAAACCAAUUAUUUCAAAAUAUCCAACAGUUUAUUUCAAGAGUGUCAACUUGUGAAACCGAUUAUAUGAACUGAAAUGUCAACUUGUGAAACGGUCAUUUCCAAAUGUGCGAUUGAAAUAGAUGUGAUUUAUCUGAAACAAGUCGGUGAAAAGUGAAAUGUAAGUUCUGAAUGUGAAAAACAACACAAAACUGAAAUGUGAAUUUGUGAACUGAUUGAAACCAUUUUAUUCAUAAGGUUUUAAUCGGGUGAAAUAUGUGAAAUGUGUCUCAUGAAUUUUAACUUAUUUGAAAUGUAUCCAAAAUCGGUCUUGUUUUAAAAAUCUUUGCGACAUGAUUUCAAAUAUAUAAAAAGUUUUCAAAUUGGAAGUUUGGUUUAAGAGAUACGAAUGAUUUUAAGUUAGCAAAUGUGAACUAAAUGUAUGCAUUAGUUUGAGAGAGAAAGAAAGAGGGAAUGGAUAGCACAUGCAUGCAAGACGCUAUGUCAUGUGACCAAAAACUGACUUUGAUGGGACCUGUGUAUCCUGUUUGAAUGUUGUAUAGCUAUAUAUUCCUGAGAACAAAAUGCUUUGUUUUUUAUACUACACAGUGCUGCAUCAAUAUUUAAAACACAAUGGACGGCCCUGCCGGUACAAGACGGAACCGCGCAAUUUUCGGCUUCGAUUGUGUACACCAUGCAAUGGAUUAUACAAAUUUGAGGGCACAUGACCGAUCAUAGUUUUAAAUAGGAUGCUAUGUCCACGCUAUAACGUUUUAAAUAGCGCAAUUUAGCACGCUAACACUUUAGCCGUGACAUAUCCCACUAUUUAAAACUCUAUGAACAGUAGUCUACUGUAAGUGCAUCUAGUGCCCCUUAGUGAUUUUGGUGUAUUGAAGACUUAUAGGUUAAGGGACUGAUACGUUUGUGAGUGUACACAAGUCUGUAAGUUUAUGAGGAGUUCGAUAUUUACCGAGAAAGUCGACCCCUAAAAAUGAAGUUCUUUGACUGAAGACUUUCUGAAGACUUUGAAAGUGAAAAAAUUGGUGUGACCUUGAAGACUUGGUAUUCAUUCGAGAAAUAUGAAGCAUGAAGACAUUUGUUUUCUUAGCUUCAUUUUCUCUUUCUUGAGUCAUAGGUAAGGAUGGCAAUGGAUCGGGUUCGGCCCGGGUUGAACAAUAUCAAAUCCAUAUCCGAAUCCACGAGGAUGUUCUUUGCCCAUCCAUGAAAAUAUCCAUGGGCAGAAAAUUGUGUCCAUGUCCAAACCCGCUGGAUAUCCAUAACCGAUGGAUAUCCAUCGGGUCCUAUCAACACACAUAUGUAUAAUAUCUUGAAGGAUCACAUAACAUUGCACAACAUUCGCAUAAAGUUAGAUUCUCGCAAGAUGGCAUUGCACAGCUUCACAACAUUAAAUAACUUUUCAAAUGCUCACAAAAUGACAUUGGAGAAGUGCACCACAUGAAAUAAGCUCUCAGAUUAUCAUGGAAUGACAUAGCUAAACAUCAAAUAAGUAUAAGUACAAAAUUCCAGCCUUAGUUCGUCACAGAAUGGCAUAGGAAUAGUAACAUAAACUCUCAGCCUUGGUUUAUUACAAAAUGACAUAGGAAUAGCCCAACAUAAUUCUAAGUCUUAGUUCCUUACAGCCAAGAGACAUAAGUACAUCACUGUUCUCAUUACAAAUGAAGGAAGGUAUUCUUCUAGCCAAC
This 14247-nucleotide long non-coding RNA is filed under the name Triticum aestivum (bread wheat). RNAcentral's name for it is "long non-coding RNA (TAES_LNC005100)". The record is from RNAcentral. Lineage: Eukaryota; Viridiplantae; Streptophyta; Magnoliopsida; Poales; Poaceae.